GUGUGAUUUAUUAUGUUCGGUGUUAUUUUUAGUCUGUGCCAUAGCAAGGUCUUAUUAUACGCAGCCAAGGACGAGAAAUCAUAAGCAAUAUUAUUAAUUUCAUGAAAAAAUUGGCAGAUAAAGGAGUUACUAUCCCUUUGAAAAAUUACAGGUGUUUUGCAGAAAAUAAAUGACCGGCAAAUCUUGACAGAAGCAAUAAGUGUAAGCAGCUUGAAUCGGCUCCUUAAAAAAAUUGGUUUCAGAUGGCAGAAAAUGUCAGACCGAAGAAAAAUUUUGUGUGAAUCACACGACAUUCGCCUGAAACGAAUAAAUUACCUAAAGAAGCUGAUAGAAUACCGUAACGAAGGCCGCAAUAUAUGUUAUACUGAUGAAACUUACAUACACAGCAGCCAAUAAAGUACAAAAUAAACGAACUGUUACAACAUGGGCACCGUGUACUACGUUUACCUCCUUAUCAUCCAGAACUAAACCCGAUCGAAAAAAUCUGUUUAUUAGUAAAAAAUUGGGUAGCUGCGCACAAUACAACAUUUAAACUGUCCGAAACGGAGGCACUCGCUAGGCAGAAAUUUGAGGAGGUAUCGGAACAAGAGUGGUAUAAUAUUUGCCAACAUGUUAAAAAAUAUGAGAAUGACCUUAUACAAAAAGAGCACAUCUUAGACCACACUCUAGAUCACUUAAUAUUUACAGUAAAUAUGGGUUCAUCGGAAGAAAGUGAAGACAAAAACA
This is a long non-coding RNA of Diorhabda carinulata, 726 nucleotides long. RefSeq lists it as uncharacterized. The record is from RefSeq and is a predicted model, not a curated record. Lineage: Eukaryota; Metazoa; Arthropoda; Insecta; Coleoptera; Chrysomelidae. The transcript has 3 exons.